Long non-coding RNA from Hibiscus syriacus, 140 nucleotides. RefSeq lists it as uncharacterized. NCBI's taxonomy places the organism in Eukaryota, Viridiplantae, Streptophyta, Magnoliopsida, Malvales, Malvaceae. The record is from RefSeq and is a predicted model, not a curated record. The transcript has 3 exons.
AAAAAAAGGAAUAUAGAAAACCUUAACUAGACCUUCAUGUUCACGAAAUGAUACAGGAAACUAUGAAGAAAGCUUCUUACCAGGUGAAAAAUCUUGAAAGAAAGACAUGGGUUUUCCUUAUUUUUCUUUUGUAAGGAAAU